UACGUAGGGUGCAAGCGUUGUCCGGAAUUAUUGGGCGUAAAGAGCUCGUAGGCGGUCUGUCGCGUCGGCUGUGAAAUCCCGAGGCUCAACCUCGGGUCUGCAGUCGAUACGGGCAAACUAGAGUAUUGCAGGGGAGACUGGAAUUCCUGGUGUAGCGGUGAAAUGCGCAGAUAUCAGGAGGAACACCGGUGGCGAAGGCGGGUCUCUGGGCAAUAACUGACGCUGAGGAGCGAAAGCGUGGGUAGCAAACAGG
Molecule: ribosomal RNA, 253 nt
Filed under: uncultured bacterium
Lineage: Bacteria
Description: partial 16S ribosomal RNA
Rfam family: Bacterial small subunit ribosomal RNA
Source: RNAcentral